RNAcentral lists this ribosomal RNA (253 nucleotides) under uncultured bacterium. RNAcentral's name for it is "partial 16S ribosomal RNA". It matches the Rfam family "Bacterial small subunit ribosomal RNA", at positions 524 to 776 of the family's 1533-position model. The record is from RNAcentral.
UACAGAGGUCUCAAGCGUUGUUCGGAUUCAUUGGGCGUAAAGGGCGCGUAGGCGGUCGCGCACGUCCGUUGUGAAAUCGCUCGGCUCAACUGGGCGGGGUCAGCGGAUACGGCGUGGCUGGAGCAAGCUAGGGGGCAAUGGAAUUCCCGGUGUAGUGGUGGAAUGCGUAGAUAUCGGGAGGAACACCAGUGGCGAAGGCGGUUGCCUGGAGCUUUGCUGACGCUGAUGCGCGAAAGCGUGGGGAGCGAUCCGG